UGUAUGUGUGUGUGUUGCUGUCUGUCUCUCUCUGUCUGUGUAUGUGUGUGGGAGAGACGGACAGAGUGACGAUGAUCACAAUAACUUUAGAAAACGUGUGCAAAAUGCUUACAAUCUGACCCAUCACACCACUAUUCAAGAGGGCCACUAUGCUCCAGAUUGCCUUCUCUGCUCUGCAGUCCUCGAUGAAGAUCUACCCGAUUACACCACUCUUAUUAGGCAUGAAUAAAAAUCCCAAUGUGCAUUUAUAUACUCUGUCCCAGUCUUUCUAUGCAUGUAAUGUCUGUGGGUUAAUUAUGAAACAAUUACUGUGCAGAUGUGCAAAGAAUUGUGAUGUAGAUUGUUUUUUUCCAUUGCUUGAUCUAUUUUAAAUGUAAGAAUAUGCAGAUUGAAACUUUAAAUGGUGCCUAUGGAAAUGAAUAGAAAUGUAAUGAACAAGGUUUUCAAUAUCCAACUUUAUCCUUUGCAAUCCUUUUUACAGUAGGUAAUAAGCUGUAGUCAGGUGGUUAUUAUCAGGUUGUGAUGAGGUCUUAACUAUGACCUGUAGCCGACAUAAUAAACUCAG
Salvelinus namaycush (lake trout) is the source of this 565-nucleotide long non-coding RNA. RefSeq lists it as uncharacterized. The record is from RefSeq and is a predicted model, not a curated record. NCBI's taxonomy places the organism in Eukaryota, Metazoa, Chordata, Actinopteri, Salmoniformes, Salmonidae. The transcript has 2 exons.